RNAcentral lists this ribosomal RNA (593 nucleotides) under uncultured Bacteroidota bacterium. RNAcentral's name for it is "bacterial SSU rRNA". It matches the Rfam family "Bacterial small subunit ribosomal RNA", at positions 122 to 715 of the family's 1533-position model. Lineage: Bacteria; Pseudomonadati; Bacteroidota. The record is from RNAcentral.
CAACCUGCCGACAACACUGGGAUAGCCUUUCGAAAGAAAGAUUAAUACCGGAUGGCAUAAUUAUUCCGCAUGGGAUAAUUAUUAAGGAAUUUCGGUUGUCGAUGGGGAUGCGUUCCAUAGGCAGUUGGCGGGGUAACGGCCCACCAAACCUACGAUGGAUAGGGGUUCCGAGAGGAAGGUCCCCCACAUUGGAACUGAGACACGGUCCAAACUCCUACGGGAGGCAGCAGUGAGGAAUAUUGGUCAAUGGACGAGAGUCUGAACCAGCCAAGUAGCGUGAAGGAUGACUGCCCUAUGGGUUGUAAACUUCUUUUAUACGGGAAUAAAGUGAGCCACGUGUGGCUUUUUGUAUGUACCGUAUGAAUAAGGAUCGGCUAACUCCGUGCCAGCAGCCGCGGUAAUACGGAGGAUCCGAGCGUUAUCCGGAUUUAUUGGGUUUAAAGGGAGCGUAGGCGGGUUGUUAAGUCAGUUGUGAAAGUUUGCGGCUCAACCGUAAAAUUGCAGUUGAUACUGGCGACCUUGAGUGCAACAGAGGUAGGCGGAAUUCGUGGUGUAGCGGUGAAAUGCUUAGAUAUCACGAAGAACUCCGAUUG